UACGGAGGAUCCGAGCGUUAUCCGGAUUUAUUGGGUUUAAAGGGUGCGUAGGCGGUUUGAUAAGUUAGAGGUGAAAUGUCGGGACUCAACCCCGAAACUGCCUCUAAUACUGUUGGACUAGAGAAUAGUUGCGGUAGGCGGAAUGUAUGGUGUAGCGGUGAAAUGCUUAGAGAUCAUACAGAACACCGAUUGCGAAGGCAGCUUACCAAACUAUAUCUGACGUUGAGGCACGAAAGCGUGGGUAGCAAACAGG
RNAcentral lists this ribosomal RNA (253 nucleotides) under uncultured bacterium. Its description in RNAcentral is "partial 16S ribosomal RNA". It matches the Rfam family "Bacterial small subunit ribosomal RNA", at positions 524 to 776 of the family's 1533-position model. The record is from RNAcentral.